Molecule: ribosomal RNA, 301 nt
Filed under: uncultured bacterium
Lineage: Bacteria
Description: partial 16S ribosomal RNA
Rfam family: Bacterial small subunit ribosomal RNA
Source: RNAcentral
CAGUCGCCGCGGGAAUACGAAGGGUGCAAGCGUUACUCGGAAUUACUGGGCGUAAAGCGUGCGUAGGUGGUGGUUUAAGUCCGUUGUGAAAGCCCUGGGCUCAACCUGGGAAUUGCAGUGGAUACUGGGUCACUAGAGUGUGGUAGAGGAUAGUGGAAUUUCCGGUGUAGCAGUGAAAUGCGUAGAGAUCGGAAGGAGCAUCUGUGGCGAAGGCGACUAUCUGGGCCAACACUGACACUGAGGCACGAAAGCGUGGGGAGCAAACAGGAUUAGAUACCCCGGUAGUCCCUGUCUCUUAUAC